Salmo salar (Atlantic salmon) is the source of this 54-nucleotide non-coding RNA. The record is from Rfam. NCBI's taxonomy places the organism in Eukaryota, Metazoa, Chordata, Actinopteri, Salmoniformes, Salmonidae.
AAUGCACCAAUUUGUAAGUCGCUCUGGAUAAGAGCGUCUGCUAAAUGUAAAAAA